GACGAACGCUGGCGGCGUGCUUAACACAUGCAAGUCGAACGGAAAGGCCCUGCUUUUGUGGGGUGCUCGAGUGGCGAACGGGUGAGUAACACGUGAGUAACCUGCCCUUGACUUUGGGAUAACUUCAGGAAACUGGGGCUAAUACCGGAUAGGAGCUCCUGCUGCAUGGUGGGGGUUGGAAAGUUUCGGCGGUUGGGGAUGGACUCGCGGCUUAUCAGCUUGUUGGUGGGGUAGUGGCUUACCAAGGCUUUGACGGGUAGCCGGCCUGAGAGGGUGACCGGGCAGGGUGGGGCUAUGAGAAGCCCGUGAUGCCUGCUAGAGACAGCAGUGUGGAAUAUUGGACAGAGGGCGGACGACUAAAGGAGCAACACGGCGUGCAAAAAGGAGAACGUCGGAUAGUAAAAGGCUAUCGCCUGAAAAAGAGGGAGGGUGGCGGAAAGGUGUAGAGGAGCAACAGCUAGUUAGGUC
RNAcentral lists this ribosomal RNA (468 nucleotides) under uncultured bacterium. Its description in RNAcentral is "partial 16S ribosomal RNA". It matches the Rfam family "Bacterial small subunit ribosomal RNA", at positions 28 to 507 of the family's 1533-position model. The record is from RNAcentral.